Molecule: ribosomal RNA, 253 nt
Filed under: uncultured bacterium
Lineage: Bacteria
Also listed under: 1 other name
Description: partial 16S ribosomal RNA
Rfam family: Bacterial small subunit ribosomal RNA
Source: RNAcentral
GACAGAGGCCUCGAGCGUUAGGCGGAAUCACUGGGCUUAAAGCGUGUGUAGGCGGAUCGUUAAGUGUCUUGUGAAAUCCCACGGCUCAACCGUGGAACUGCUGGGCAUACUGGCGAUCUUGGGCCACCUAGGGGCAGUCGGAACAAACGGUGGAGCGGUGAAAUGCGUAGAUAUCGUUUGGAACGCCGAUGGUGAAAACAGACUGCUGGGGGUGUGCCGACGCUGAGACACGAAAGCCAGGGGAGCAAACGGG